GGUUAAGCGACUAAGCGUACACGGUGGAUGCCCUGGCAGUCAGAGGCGAUGAAGGGCGUGCUAAUCUGCGAUAAGCGCCGGUAAGGUGAUAUGAACCGUUAUAACCGGCGAUACCCGAAUGGGGAAACCCAGUGUGAUUCGUCACACUAUCAUUACGUGAAUACAUAGCGUAAUGAAGCGAACCGGGGGAACUGAAACAUCUAAGUACCCCGAGGAAAAGAAAUCAACCGAGAUUCCCCCAGUAGCGGCGAGCGAACGGGGAGGAGCCCAGAGCCUGAAUCAGCAUGUGUGUUAGUGGAAGCGUCUGGAAAGGCGCGCGAUACAGGGUGACAGCCCCGUACACAAAAGCGCAUGUGUUGUGAGCUCGAUGAGUAGGGCGGGACACGUGGUAUCCUGUCUGAAUAUGGGGGGACCAUCCUCCAAGGCUAAAUACUCCUGACUGACCGAUAGUGAACCAGUACCGUGAGGGAAAGGCGAAAAGAACCCCGGCGAGGGGAGUGAAAAAGAACCUGAAACCGUGUACGUACAAGCAGUGGGAGCACCCUUUGGGGUGUGACUGCGUACCUUUUGUAUAAUGGGUCAGCGACUUAUAUUCUGUAGCAAGGUUAACCGAAUAGGGGAGCCGGAGGGAAACC
RNAcentral lists this ribosomal RNA (635 nucleotides) under Salmonella enterica. RNAcentral's name for it is "partial 23S ribosomal RNA". It matches the Rfam family "Bacterial large subunit ribosomal RNA", at positions 1 to 678 of the family's 2925-position model. Lineage: Bacteria; Pseudomonadati; Pseudomonadota; Gammaproteobacteria; Enterobacterales; Enterobacteriaceae. The record is from RNAcentral.